RNAcentral lists this ribosomal RNA (433 nucleotides) under uncultured bacterium. RNAcentral's name for it is "partial 16S ribosomal RNA". It matches the Rfam family "Bacterial small subunit ribosomal RNA", at positions 29 to 507 of the family's 1533-position model. The record is from RNAcentral.
AACGAACGCUGGCGGCAUGCCUAACACAUGCAAGUCGAACGACACCUUCGGUUCUUGUGGCUCACGGGUACUUAACUCGUGGGAACCUUCCCUUCGGUUCGUAUUCACUCCCCGGAGGUGGUGCUCAUACCGGCUAAUUUCUUCCGCCCAAAGAUUUCUCGCCCUUGGAGGGGCCCUCGUUGGAUUACCUUGUUGGUAUGGUCAAAGCCUACCAAGGCGAGGAUCCAUAGCUGGUCUGAGAGAAUGAGCAGACACACUGGGACUGAGACACGGCCCAGACUCCUACGGGAGGGAGGAGAGGGGAAUAUAGGAAAAUGGGGGGAAGGAUGAAGGAGCAAUGCCGGGUGAGUGAUGAAGGCCAGAGGGAAGUAAAGCUCUUUUACACGGGAGGAGAAUGACAGUACCGGGAGAAUAAGCGCCGGCUAACUACGUG